GACGAACCGUGCGAACGUUGUUCGGAAUCACUGGGCUUAAAGGGCGCGUAGGCGGUCAGCACAAGUCAGUUGUGAAAUCUCCGGGCUUAACUCGGAAAGGUCAACUGAUACUGUGCGACUAGAGUGCAGAAGGGGCAACUGGAAUUCUCGGUGUAGCGGUGAAAUGCGUAGAUAUCGAGAGGAACACCUGCGGCGAAGGCGGGUUGCUGGGCUGACACUGACGCUGAUGCGCGAAAGCCAGGGGAGCGAACGGG
Molecule: ribosomal RNA, 254 nt
Filed under: uncultured bacterium
Lineage: Bacteria
Description: partial 16S ribosomal RNA
Rfam family: Bacterial small subunit ribosomal RNA
Source: RNAcentral